ACCAUCACCACUUCUACCUUCAACCCAUCACCACUUCUACCUUCAACCCAUCACCACCUCCACCGCCACCUUAACCCUGCAAUAGAGCGUGUGCCAGAUUCAUUUGACCUAAUUCUUUCAUCUGCACACAAACAGUUACACAAUCCACCUCCUAUCUCCAGUUACCCCUACACCAACCUCUCCACUCUUACCGCCUACACCCAGUUUCCCAUUCAUCCUAUAAAUACCCCCAUCGUCAUCCAGUUUCCAAAAAUAUUCCACUAAUCAGUACCGGAGGGCGGCUAGUGUGAUUCGUUUUCCGGCAGAUUCAUUUGACCUAAUUCUCGAAACAGAGCGUGUGCCAGAUUCGUUUUCCAGCCAAAUUCAUUUGCAAAGGGGUCCCAAUUGAAUGAAGUGAUGUUGAAGAAGAACCUUUAUAUGAUGGGUCGAUCUGAUUAAUUGAUUUUGGGUUUUAUUUCAUUGAUGGUUGCAUUAGAUAGGGUUUAUGGUUGGUCAUUAGAUAGGGGUGGGGUGGGGUGGGUUGAAGGUGACUGUGGAGGUGGUGGUGGGUUGAAGGUGACGGUGGAGGUGGAGGUGGAGGUGGUGGAUUGAAGGUGGUGGUGGUGGGUUAAAGGUGGUGGUGGGUUUUAAAGAGAGUGGAGGAAGAAGAUGAGGGUGAGUUAUCUUUAUUUUUUAUUUUUUUAUUGUUCAGGGGCAAUCUAGUCAUUUCGCAUACAUUUAACUGAGAAAAUUAACAUGGGUUAGUGAUAAAGAUCACCCGAGUACAAAAUUUGUAACCCUUGGGACCAACUCUGUAAUUAGUAAACCACUAGAACCAAGUCUGCAAUAUUUGCAAACCACAGAGACCAACCAUGCAUUUAACUCUGUCAUAUCAUGAUUUAGCCAUAUUAACCCUUUAAUGAUUUUGACCUUAACACUAAUUUUGUUACUUUUUUUACAAUUAAGUGUAAGGGUAAUUAGAUAAUUAUAUACCUUAUGAGUUGUUUUUUUUUAUAAUUACAAAGUUCUUUUAAUAUUUAAGAGAUUAUUAUUACAAUUACUCAAGUUUUUUUUUUUAUUAUUUCGUUAACUUCACGAUUAUUUUUAACAAAAUACGUUUUAAAUACAUAAAUAAAUAUGUAUGUUUUCCUUAACCAUUUGUUGUUUAUAAACGUCGUUUUAUAAUCAUUUAUGUUUUUUAUUUUUUUAAAAAACCAUCUAUCGUUUAUAAAAAAAUGUUCCUUUUUAAAUCCCUUGUCUUUUUUAAAUCGCCCCUUUUAAAGUUUUUUUAAACAGUUCAUAUUAUACCGUUCUUUUUAAAAUCGUUUGUUUUACAACCGUUUUUGAAAUCGUUCAUUAAAACCUAUAUAAAAAAGCAAGUACUUUGUGCAUAUGUUGGUUGUAACCUGUGCUUUGGGAGUGUUUCAAAGGUGUACAUCCAGGUAUUUGUUACAUACCUUCUCUCCCUUUCAGUCCAAAACCACUGCCACUCAUCUCAUCCCGUUUGAAGAUCAGUACCAACCACCGCCGACGAAAGCAGUCCUUAAACUUUUAAACCCUAAAAUCAAACCUCUCGAAAUACGGUGAGCAAAGAAGUUGUCAAGGUUUAUGUUAAACCCUAAGAAAAGGCCAUACCCCUGUUUCUUCGUGUCUUUCUCAGGUAUGUUUUUUUAUUAGAGGUUUUGGUUUUCUGGUGGUUUUGCUUGCUUCAUUCAUGGCGGUGGCUUUUGUUUCGCCGCCGGUUGUGGGUAUUGUUGCCUUGAUUAUGUUGGCUUAAUGAUGGUGGUUGAUCUUUAUGUAAGCCUUACCCUUUUUGUAUGAUCUGUGAUGUUGAUGUUGAUGUUGAUGUUGAUGUUGACACUUGAGUUGCGAUUAAGGGAUGUAGGAAGCCGUCUGUUCUAUGUCGUGGGUCUCCGGUGACCACGGUUAUAUAAGCGCUUAUACAUGUUUCUUUGCCCUAUGUUUCCCUCUGUUUUACGCUUGAUUGCGAUUCCGAUUGUGUCCAAUGCGAUGUUUAAGUAUCUAUUGGUUUUGUUUCAUCUUUAGUUUAUUGCUAUUAAUCUGAAUAUAUACGUGUGAUUGAUGAAUGGAUGCUACUUAAUCGAUUACCUUUUGUAUAGGUAAAUAUGAUGGGCUAUGGUCAACCAGUUUCAUUCAUUGCGCUCUAAUUUGAAAUCAAUGAAACUCCCUGAACCAUAAGAAACCCUUUCACUUAACUCCUCUAAAUAUGAUAUUGAAUUAUGUUAUUUGAAUAUUACAUUACGUAUGAUGUAAAUACAUAAUGACUUGGCGAAACUUACUUGGGUUGUAAUUCAAUGUAAGCCAGAUGUGUCUUUGCUGAUGAAACUGAUAUUUGCAGUCAGAGGAUGAGGUGCGGACCCGUUGGGGGCUAUGGUCUAUGAUGAAACUGGUGACGCAAAUUAUGACUUGGUUUACUUAUGUUCCGUGCUCUACCUGUGAACAAUGUGGCAAGCAUCAGGUAGUUUUACAUUUAUGGUUGAAUGGAUAAUAGACCGAUAUGAGGCAAACGGGUCAGUCGCGUAACGGGUAAAAAGACAAACUUUUAUACGGGUAUCAGUUGUGCAAAGAGUGAUCAGUUUCAGCCUUCGGGUUUAUAGAGAUUGAGAUGAGAGAAUAUCAAAGACUCUGCUUAAUCAGAUAUCACAUGAGAAAGAAAAUGAUACAUAAGUGUUUUUACGCUGAUAAAGAAGGUUGCAGAAAAGGGUAUAGCUUUGUUUUGUACAUCUUGGAUGUAUAGGUUAGACGAUGUAACUAUGGAACAUUGGUGUAACAAAUGUAUGGGUUUAUUUGGUAU
This 2794-nucleotide long non-coding RNA is filed under the name Helianthus annuus (common sunflower). RNAcentral's name for it is "hypothetical non coding rna". Lineage: Eukaryota; Viridiplantae; Streptophyta; Magnoliopsida; Asterales; Asteraceae. The record is from RNAcentral.